RNAcentral lists this ribosomal RNA (344 nucleotides) under uncultured bacterium. Its description in RNAcentral is "bacterial SSU rRNA". It matches the Rfam family "Bacterial small subunit ribosomal RNA", at positions 8 to 350 of the family's 1533-position model. The record is from RNAcentral.
AGAGUUUGAUCAUGGCUCAGGAUGAACGCUAGCUACAGGCUUAACACAUGCAAGUCGAGGGGCAGCAUGUUGGUUGCUUGCAACCAAUGAUGGCGACCGGCGCACGGGUGAGUAACGCGUAUCCAACCUACCCUUGUCCAUCGGAUAACCCGUCGAAAGGCGGCCUAACACGAUAUGCGGUUCUCAGCAGGCAUCUAACGAGAACGAAAUGUGAAGGAGAAGGAUGGGGAUGCGUCUGAUUAGCUUGUUGGCGGGUAACGGCCACAAGGCGGCGAUCAGUAGGGGUUCUGAGAGGAAGGUCCCCACAUUGGAACUGAGACACGGUCCAACGUCCUACGGAGGCA